AUCCAGCUGACGAGUUCCAAAUAAGAUGAAACGCGCGUCCUGGAU
Molecule: non-coding RNA, 45 nt
Organism: Schistosoma margrebowiei
Lineage: Eukaryota; Metazoa; Platyhelminthes; Trematoda; Strigeidida; Schistosomatidae
Source: Rfam